AAUACCCACCCAAAAUCCACUACACCCCCCAAAAAAAAGUACUUUCAGGGUCCUUCGCCCGCAUUCACGAUGACCUAUCAGGUAAUCAGCCUCGAAAAGGGGUAGUGCAUGGGGAAAGGGUGAGUAUGAGAUGGGAAAGGUAAUCUGCCUGGGUUACAACGCGAUCGUUUUGGGUCCGCCACCCGGAUUACUGAAAGCGAAAAAUCUAAGAAUUAAAACAUUUAGUUCAACAGCGAGGAAGCAAAUUGGAAAACCGGCUGAAUGACUUCAACUGGAUCGAGAGCUCAAUUCCAUCACUUAUCUUCAAGUUUGGAUUCAGGUUGAAAAUCUUGAUUUCGGCUCCACAAAGAAAAACUAUUCCACACAAUUGAGACCGAGACAGCCCGACAGUGAAAAUUAGCGCCAACACAAGAACACGAUCCUUUGAAAUGAGGAGCUCGGUGUGUGAGGACGCGUUGUCAACGUGGAGGUCUAACAGAGCUGUGCGUUAGUGAUGGCAAGGAUACCCAGAGGCACGGUAUAUCAGCAAAACCAUGCAGACACUAUGACAAGGGAUAACUGGAAACUGCACAUCAAUCACCAGACAGGAAUGUUCUCUCCCAGUUGGGAACACUUCAGCAUUCAAGGACAUUCAGCCUCCGAGCUUUGGGUAAGUAUCCUCCAAGACAGAUUUGAAGAUACAAGA
Molecule: long non-coding RNA, 685 nt
Organism: Stegostoma tigrinum
Lineage: Eukaryota; Metazoa; Chordata; Chondrichthyes; Orectolobiformes; Stegostomatidae
Exons: 4
Source: RefSeq, a predicted model, not a curated record